RNAcentral lists this long non-coding RNA (405 nucleotides) under Ananas comosus (pineapple). RNAcentral's name for it is "long non-coding RNA (ACOM_LNC035815)". The record is from RNAcentral. Lineage: Eukaryota; Viridiplantae; Streptophyta; Magnoliopsida; Poales; Bromeliaceae.
UUUUUAGUGAACUUUAAUUAUUUGAAAACUAAAUUCAAUAAUUAUUUCGUGCUUUUCGGCUAUUUGAUAAAGUGACAAAGUGCUAGCUAGCUGAAAAUUAAUUGCAAUUUUAAUGUGAGAGGUUAAUUGAGAUAUUGGCUAAAAUAUAGAAGAAAAGAGUCCGGCUAUGGUGUAUGCAAAAGUACCAAGCACUUGGUGCUUGUAAAUUUUUUGCUGUAAGAUUUACCUCUUUGACCAUUUCCAUAUGUUAAAUCAUACUAUUACACUAACCACCCACUAAACCUUAUAUAGUAGCCCUAGCCUCUAUAUAUAUAUAUAUAGAGAGAGAGAGAGAGAGAGAGAGAGAGAGAGUUGAGCUAGAAUACACCUAAAAGCACCAAGAUAUUGGUGCUUUUAGAUAGUGUU